AACGAACGCUGGCGGCGUGCCUAACACAUGCAAGUCGAACGGAACUAAGGGGCUUGCUCCUUAGUUUAGUGGCGCACGGGUGAGUAACGCGUGGAUAAUCUGCCCGAUGAUCUGGGAUAACAUCUCGAAAGGGGUGCUAAUACCGGAUAAGCCCACGAGGUCUAUGGAUCUUGCGGGAAAAGGGGGGGACCUUCGGGCCUUCUGUCAUCGGAUGAGUCCGCGUACCAUUAGCUAGUUGGCGGGGUAAAGGCCCACCAAGGCUACGAUGGUUAGCUGGUUUGAGAGAAUGAUCAGCCACACUGGAACUGAGACACGGUCCAGACUCCUACGGGAGGCAGCAGUGGGGAAUUUUGCGCAAUGGGCGAAAGCCUGACGCAGCAACGCCGCGUGAGUGAUGAAGGCCUUCGGGUCGUAAAGCUCUGUCAAGAGGGAAGAAAUGUAUUAUGGCUAAUACCCGUGAUACUUGACGGUACCUCUGGAGGAAGCACCGGCUAACUCCGUGCCAGCAGCCGCGGUAAUACGGAGGGUGCGAGCGUUGUUCGGAAUUAUUGGGCGUAAAGCGCGUGUAGGCGGUCUUUUAAGUCUGAUGUGAAAGCCCCGGGCUCAACCUGGGAAGUGCAUUGGAAACUGGGAGACUUGAAUACGGGAGAGGGUAGUGGAAUUCCUAGUGUAGGGGUGAAAUCCGUAGAUAUUAGGAGGAACACCGGUGGCGAAGGCGGCUACCUGGACCGAUAUUGACGCUGAGACGCGAAAGCGUGGGGAGCAAACAGGAUUAGAUACCCUGGUAGUCCACGCCGUAAACGAUGAGUACUAGGUGUCGCGGGUAUUGACCCCUGCGGUGCCGCAGCUAACGCAUUAAGUACUCCGCCUGGGAAGUACGGUCGCAAGACUAA
RNAcentral lists this ribosomal RNA (893 nucleotides) under uncultured bacterium. RNAcentral describes it as "bacterial SSU rRNA". It matches the Rfam family "Bacterial small subunit ribosomal RNA", at positions 28 to 897 of the family's 1533-position model. The record is from RNAcentral.